CGGCGCACGGGUGCGCAACGCGUAUAGAACCUACCCUUUACAGGGGGAUAGCCCGGAGAAAUCCGGAUUAAUACCCCGUGGUAAUAUAAAUUGGCAUCGAUUUAUAUUUAAAGCUUUCGGGCGGUAAAGGAUGGCUAUGCGUCCUAUUAGUUAGAUGGUGAGGUAACGGCUCACCAUGACUAUGAUAGGUAGGGGCCCUGAGAGGGGGAUCCCCCACACUGGUACUGAGACACGGACCAGACUCCUACGGGAGGCAGCAGUGAGGAAUAUUGGACAAUGGGCGGAAGCCUAAUCCAGCCAUGCCGCGUGCAGGAAGACGGCCCUACGGGUUGUAAACUGCUUUUAUACGGGAAGAAUAAUCACGACGAGUCGUGGGAUGACGGUACCGUAAGAAUAAGGACCGGCUAACUCCGUGCCAGCAGCCGCGGUAAUACGGAGGGUCCGAGCGUUAUCCGGAAUUAUUGGGUUUAAAGGGUCCGCAGGCGGGCUUAUAAGUCAGGGGUGAAAUGGUGCGGCUCAACCGUAGCACUGCCCUUGAUACUGUUAGUCUUGAGUUAUGGUGGAGUGGCCGGAAUAUGUAGUGUAGCGGUGAAAUGCAUAGAUAUUACAUAGAACACCGAUCGCGAAGGCAGGUCACUAACCAUAUACUGACGCUGAUGGACGAAAGCGUGGGGAGCGAACAGGAUUAGAUACCCUGGUAGUCCACGCCGUAAACGAUGGAUACUAGCUGUCGGGACUUCGGUCUCGGCGGCCAAGCGAAAGUGAUAAGUAUCCCACCUGGGGAGUACGUUCGCA
Molecule: ribosomal RNA, 795 nt
Filed under: uncultured bacterium
Lineage: Bacteria
Description: bacterial SSU rRNA
Rfam family: Bacterial small subunit ribosomal RNA
Source: RNAcentral